GGGUUGUGAGGUUAAGCGACUAAGCGUACACGGUGGAUGCCCUGGCAGUCAGAGGCGAUGAAGGACGUGCUAAUCUGCGAUAAGCGUCGGUAAGGUGAUAUGAACCGUUAUAACCGGCGAUUUCCGAAUGGGGAAACCCAGUGUGUUUCGACACACUAUCAUUAACUGAAUCCAUAGGUUAAUGAGGCGAACCGGGGGAACUGAAACAUCUAAGUACCCCGAGGAAAAGAAAUCAACCGAGAUUCCCCCAGUAGCGGCGAGCGAACGGGGAGCAGCCCAGAGCCUGAAUCAGUGUGUGUGUUAGUGGAAGCGUCUGGAAAGGCGCGCGAUACAGGGUGACAGCCCCGUACACAAAAAUGCACAUACUGUGAGCUCGAUGAGUAGGGCGGGACACGUGGUAUCCUGUCUGAAUAUGGGGGGACCAUCCUCCAAGGCUAAAUACUCCUGACUGACCGAUAGUGAACCAGUACCGUGAGGGAAAGGCGAAAAGAACCCCGGCGAGGGGAGUGAAAAAGAACCUGAAACCGUGUACGUACAAGCAGUGGGAGCCUCUUUUAUGGGGUGACUGCGUACCUUUUGUAUAAUGGGUCAGCGACUUAUAUUCUGUAGCAAGGUUAACCGAAUAGGGGAGCCGAAGGGAAACCGAGUCUUAACUGGGCGUUAAGUUGCAGGGUAUAGACCCGAAACCCGGUGAUCUAGCCAUGGGCAGGUUGAAGGUUGGGUAACACUAACUGGAGGACCGAACCGACUAAUGUUGAAAAAUUAGCGGAUGACUUGUGGCUGGGGGUGAAAGGCCAAUCAAACCGGGAGAUAGCUGGUUCUCCCCGAAAGCUAUUUAGGUAGCGCCUCGUGAAUUCAUCUCCGGGGGUAGAGCACUGUUUCGGCAAGGGGGUCAUCCCGACUUACCAACCCGAUGCAAACUGCGAAUACCGGAGAAUGUUAUCACGGGAGACACACGGCGGGUGCUAACGUCCGUCGUGAAGAGGGAAACAACCCAGACCGCCAGCUAAGGUCCCAAAGUCAUGGUUAAGUGGGAAACGAUGUGGGAAGGCCCAGACAGCCAGGAUGUUGGCUUAGAAGCAGCCAUCAUUUAAAGAAAGCGUAAUAGCUCACUGGUCGAGUCGGCCUGCGCGGAAGAUGUAACGGGGCUAAACCAUG
RNAcentral lists this ribosomal RNA (1158 nucleotides) under Escherichia coli. RNAcentral describes it as "bacterial LSU rRNA". It matches the Rfam family "Bacterial large subunit ribosomal RNA", at positions 1 to 1191 of the family's 2925-position model. Lineage: Bacteria; Pseudomonadati; Pseudomonadota; Gammaproteobacteria; Enterobacterales; Enterobacteriaceae. The record is from RNAcentral.